This 305-nucleotide ribosomal RNA is filed under the name uncultured bacterium. RNAcentral's name for it is "bacterial SSU rRNA". It matches the Rfam family "Bacterial small subunit ribosomal RNA", at positions 333 to 656 of the family's 1533-position model. The record is from RNAcentral.
GUUUUCCUACGGGGCGCAGCAGUGGGGAAUAUUGCACAAUGGGGGAAACCCUGAUGCAGCGACGCCGCGUGAGCGAGGAAGUACCUCGGUAUGUAAAGCUCUGUCAGCAGGGAAGAAAACGACAGUACCUGACCAAGAAGCCCCGGCUAACUACGUGCCAGCAGCCGCGGUAAUACGGAGGAUGCGAGCGUUAUCCGGAUUUAUUGGGUUUAAAGGGUGCGCAGGCGGGCUGUUAAGCCGGCGGUAAAAAUUCAGGGCUCAACCCUGUCGAGCCGUCGGAACUGGCAGCCUUGAGUGGGCGGGAG